This is a long non-coding RNA of Lacerta agilis (Sand lizard), 458 nucleotides long. RefSeq lists it as uncharacterized. Lineage: Eukaryota; Metazoa; Chordata; Lepidosauria; Squamata; Lacertidae. The transcript has 3 exons. The record is from RefSeq and is a predicted model, not a curated record.
CAGCAUUUUUCUAUAUAACUGAAAACUUGAAGAUCAGGAUUUAUUUCCCCUUGAUGUUUGUUCUAUGCUAACGUUGGCCGGCAUCUGAAGAAUUUGGAAGGCAAAACCCUUGUCAGCACGAAUACGUGCGAACUGUCGAGCUGUCUAGUCUCUGCAACCGCGCUGACGCCACUGCAAAUUGAUAACCAAAACAGCAAGAAGAAUCUUGGAAUUAGAGGAAGAGGAAAAAACCAUGUAGCCCACUCUGUAAGCUGCCUCAUAUGAGAGAGAUCAAGGAUGCGAAGCCCUCAAAUAUUCUACAGUACCUCUCCACAAUCGUGUAUUUCCUGGUACCAUGUGCUGCCUUCAACAUGGAACUUCAAGAUUCAGUGUUGUAGUUAAAAGAGAUAUUUCAUUAAUAAGAAAACACCCAUGUGUGUACAACAUUCAUCAACUGAAUUAAACUCUUUCUAAACUGA